Molecule: small nuclear RNA, 162 nt
Filed under: Phascolarctos cinereus (koala)
Lineage: Eukaryota; Metazoa; Chordata; Mammalia; Diprotodontia; Phascolarctidae
Description: U1 spliceosomal RNA (ENSPCIG00000015469.2)
Rfam family: U1 spliceosomal RNA
About the family: U1 is a small nuclear RNA (snRNA) component of the spliceosome (involved in pre-mRNA splicing). Its 5' end forms complementary base pairs with the 5' splice junction, thus defining the 5' donor site of an intron.
Source: RNAcentral
AUACUUUCUUGGCAGGGGAGAUACAAUGAUCACAAAGGUCAUUUUCCCAGGGCAAGGAUUAUAUCUAUUAUACUCAAUGUGUUGACCCUGAAAUUUUCCCAAAUAUAGAGAACACAACUUCAUGAUUUGUGAUGAUGAGGACAGAAUUUGUUCUUCAUUUUG